Molecule: long non-coding RNA, 252 nt
Filed under: Lathyrus oleraceus (garden pea)
Lineage: Eukaryota; Viridiplantae; Streptophyta; Magnoliopsida; Fabales; Fabaceae
Description: Pisum sativum (pea) long non-coding RNA (PSAT_LNC003543)
Source: RNAcentral
UUUUUAAAAAUGUAUUUUGUUUUAGGAAGAACUAAAGUUUUUAAUGUUUUUUUAUUUUUUAUUUUUUAGAAGUGAUAUUAUCUAUGUGAAAUUGGGUUACAUUUAACUUUCGUUUUUUUGUUUUUUUAGUUUCUUCAAGAUGAAGAUUAGAAGCUAAUAUGAAGAUUCUAUGUAAUCCUCUUGUAUUGUUUGUAUAAAUAUUUUGGUGGUUUCCUCAUCGAUAAUUCUCUCAAUUUUUUUUUCAAACAACAA